CAAGUGAUUGAAUCAAUAAUUUUGAUUUAUAGAUUCAAGAGUUGUUCGUGACUCCAAGUUUUAAAGCAAGUGACAGUAGAGUUCAGCAAAGCCAGACCUAAGUAUGCCGAGGAUGCGCCUUACCGCUCGCAAGAGGGUCCCACUUAACCAUCCACAGAUAUUUCGGUUCAAUCUUCCUGCUCAGGUAGGAAGAAUCCAGAGUAUACAUAGAACUUUUGGUAGUAUGUAAUAAAAAUUUGAACUAGUCAUAAAACUUAUUUAGACUUUUGGAGGGUUUGUGUGGUUUACUGUAAAAGCUACUCUAGGCAGGUGUGUAGUGUGUAAUCACAUUAUGGUUUUAUUAGUGCUUGUUUCAUAUCAUAAAUUGUGUACGAUCCAGUUGCAUGCAGGGGUCAUAUUAUUGUUUUAUAAUAUUAGCAUUUCAUUC
Long non-coding RNA from Daucus carota subsp. sativus, 427 nucleotides. RefSeq lists it as uncharacterized. Lineage: Eukaryota; Viridiplantae; Streptophyta; Magnoliopsida; Apiales; Apiaceae. The transcript is spliced from 2 exons. The record is from RefSeq and is a predicted model, not a curated record.